RNAcentral lists this ribosomal RNA (119 nucleotides) under Echinococcus granulosus. The record is from RNAcentral. Lineage: Eukaryota; Metazoa; Platyhelminthes; Cestoda; Cyclophyllidea; Taeniidae.
GCCAGCGACUACACCACGUAGAAACCUGCGGUUUUCGUUACACCAUCGAGGGUGUGCUACGUCGGACCGGGUUAGUACAUGCUGAGGUGACGGAUAAGGAACGCUCGGAGUUGCUGGCC